GCCAGCAGCCAUAUCACCCUGCAACUCACAACUGGCGGCCCACAGAAGAUAAGCAGGUGUGAGCCUGGUCAGUACCUGGAUGGGAGACCUCCUGGGAGGUGCUGGAAGAGGUGUUAGUG
This 119-nucleotide ribosomal RNA is filed under the name Lepisosteus oculatus (spotted gar). The record is from RNAcentral. Lineage: Eukaryota; Metazoa; Chordata; Actinopteri; Semionotiformes; Lepisosteidae.